This 388-nucleotide ribosomal RNA is filed under the name uncultured eukaryote. RNAcentral's name for it is "SSU rRNA". It matches the Rfam family "Eukaryotic small subunit ribosomal RNA", at positions 567 to 964 of the family's 1831-position model. The record is from RNAcentral.
CCAGCAGCCGCGGUAAUUCCAGCUCCAAUAGCGUAUAUUAAAGUUGUUGCAGUUAAAAAGCUCGUAGUUGAAUUUCUGGGAGGUCCAUGCGGCGCGGUAUUUCCGUGCUCGCAAUGUUCCUCCCAUCCUCGCAGGGAAGGCAUCGGCAUUCAUUUGUCGGUGUCCGGAACUGCGUCUUUUACUGUGAAAAAAUUAGAGUGUUUAAAGCAGGCGUUUCGCUUGGAUACAUUAGCAUGGAAUAAUAAGAUAGGACCUAUGGGUCUAUUUUGUUGGUUGCGGCCCGAGGUAAUGAUUAAUAGGGAUAGUUGGGGGUAUUCAUAUUUAAUUGUCAGAGGUGAAAUUCUUGGAUUUAUUAAAGAUGAACUACUGCGAAAGCAUUUACCAAGGA